Molecule: ribosomal RNA, 429 nt
Filed under: Bacteroidota bacterium
Lineage: Bacteria; Pseudomonadati; Bacteroidota
Description: Bacteroidetes bacterium partial 16S ribosomal RNA
Rfam family: Bacterial small subunit ribosomal RNA
Source: RNAcentral
UAGGGAAUCUUCCGCAAUGGACGCAAGUCUGACGGAGCAACGCCGCGUGAGUGAAGAAGGAUUUCGGUUCGUAAAACUCUGUUGUUAGAGAAGAACAGCGCAUAGAGUAACUGUUAUGCGUGUGACGGUAUCUAACCAGAAAGCCACGGCUAACUACGUGCCAGCAGCCGCGGUAAUACGUAGGUGGCAAGCGUUGUCCGGAUUUAUUGGGCGUAAAGCGAGCGCAGGCGGUCAAUUAAGUCUGAUGUGAAAGCCCCCGGCUCAACCGGGGAGGGUCAUUGGAAACUGGUUGACUUGAGUGCAGAAGAGGAGAGUGGAAUUCCAUGUGUAGCGGUGAAAUGCGUAGAUAUAUGGAGGAACACCAGAGGCGAAGGCGACUCUCUGGUCUGUAACUGACGCUGAGGCUCGAAAGCGUGGGUAGCAAACAGG